UAAGAAGGAACACCAAUGGCGUAGGCAGGUUACUGGGCUGUUUCUGACACUGAGGCACGAAAGCGUGGGGAGCGAACCGGAUUAGAUACCCGGGUAGUCCACGCCGUAAACGAUGGAUACUAGCUGUUUGGGGUAUCGACCCCCUGAGUAGCGAAGCUAACGCGUUAAGUAUCCCGCCUGUGGAGUACGAUCGCAAGAUUAAAACAUAAAGGAAUUGACGGGGACCCGCACAAGCGGUGGAUCAUGUUCUUUAAUUCGAUGAUAACCGAUAAACCUUACCAGGACUUGACAUCCUUGGGAGCACUACGAAAGUAGAGUGUGCCUUUUGGAACCAAGUGACAGGUGAUGCAUGGCCGUCGUCAGCUCGUGUCGUGAGAUGUUAGGUUAAGUCCUUCAACGAGCGCAACCCUUGUGAAUAGUUGUAUUUUUCUAUUCAAACUGCCCCGGUAACGGGGAGGAAGGAGGGGAUGACGUCAGGUCAGUAUUUCCCUUACGUCCUGGGCUAGAAACGUGAUACAAUGGCUAGUACAAUGCGCCGCGAAGCCGCGAGGUGAAGCAAAUCGCAUCAAAGCUAGUCCCAGUUCGGAUUGGAGGCUGAAACUCGCCUCCAUGAAGUCGGAAUCGCUAGUAAUCGCAGAUCAUCAUGCUGCGGUGAAUACGUUCCCGGGUCUUGUACACACCGCCCGU
Molecule: ribosomal RNA, 687 nt
Filed under: uncultured bacterium
Lineage: Bacteria
Description: bacterial SSU rRNA
Rfam family: Bacterial small subunit ribosomal RNA
Source: RNAcentral